Molecule: long non-coding RNA, 647 nt
Organism: Gossypium arboreum
Lineage: Eukaryota; Viridiplantae; Streptophyta; Magnoliopsida; Malvales; Malvaceae
Exons: 4
Source: RefSeq, a predicted model, not a curated record
AAGGGAGAGUAGUUAGAAUUGUUUCUUCUUGUCGAAAAGAAGAAAGGAAAAAGGUAAAGGGGAAAGGGUUCAUUCGGCCAUGGAGUUUGAGUUGCAUGCUUAAAUUGGAACGAAUCAAUCAGACGUGAACUGUGGAAAAACGAAAGUAACGGAGUAGCUAACGGCCAUAAUAUUACGACUAUUUUGUUAAGGAAAAACGUGAUUAGGGUCUUGAUCGGGAGAAAAACAUGGUUUACGCGGAUUAAACUCAUUUCUAUCAUUUUUGUACUGAGUUUCACCAAGCUAGCUCGGGGAUCGAAGAACAUUAGAGGCUCGAUCACACUAUCAAUUGAACAUUUGGGUAUAGUUAGCUUUAUUAUUUUGGAUAUGGCAUGUAUAGGGAUUUGGUCUUUUGUUAUGUGUCAUAUUGGUUAGCCAAAUGGGUUGGCUCAUUAUGGUAUUAUGAUUAUUUUGUAUAUGGCCAUGAGAGGUGAAUCAUAUUGAUUAUUUGGGUUGUAACCCUAAUUAUUGGUGCAUGCAUGCAAAUGUGUUUAUCUUAUGAUGUGGUUUUGGUUGCUUGUGGAUGAUAUGUAAGAUGAAUGGCAUAUGUGUUAAGCAAAUGAAUGAGGACUAAUAGGUAUGACCAUAUUUAUGGUAUAAUUGAGUAA